This 696-nucleotide ribosomal RNA is filed under the name Alwisia repens. RNAcentral's name for it is "bacterial SSU rRNA". It matches the Rfam family "Eukaryotic small subunit ribosomal RNA", at positions 45 to 558 of the family's 1831-position model. The record is from RNAcentral. Lineage: Eukaryota; Evosea; Eumycetozoa; Liceales; Reticulariaceae.
UAAGCCAUGCAGCUCUGAGGUGAGUUAAUUCUCAAUCUGCGAAAGGCUCCGUACAACUGUUAUAACCUACCGUGUUACACAAUAUAUGGAUAAUACCAGUAAAUCUGAUAAUAAUACAUUGGAAAAUAAGCGUAAUCUGAGUAGCUUCGGACGAGGAAUGCAUCGGACACUGGGAAAUAAACCUCCUGUGGCUUUUGUUACCUCAUUAAAAGUCACGGCAAAAAGAUAGGGACUCUCAAUAUAAAAAUAGGCAUAUUCAAAAAAGGGUAAAGAAUGAUGAGAUAGGCUCACUUAAAAAUACCGGAAUACUUGUUUUCAAGAACCGGUUACUGUGCGCUCUUAUUUCUUCGUUUCCUUCAUUGGUUAGCUUGGAAAAUAUGAGAGAAUCAGAUCCUGAUAUAUAAUAGAGUUUAAAAGUCUUUAAAAGAUAUACAAUCACGAUGGGUUUCAGUCCUAUCAACUAGAUGGUAGGGUAUUGGCCUACCAUGGUUUUUACGGGUACAGAGGAUAAGGGUUCGAUCCUGGAGAGGUAGCCUGAGAAAUAGCUACCACUUCUAAGGAAGGCAGCAGGCGCGCAACGUUCCCAAUGGCUGAAAGGCUGAGGACGUUAUGGAACAUAGCAAUACUUCACUGUUUAGUGAGGCAAUUGAAAUGGGGGAGGUUUAAAUCACCCACCGAGUAACAAUUGGAGGACAA